AAUGAACGCUGGCGGCAGGCCUAAAACAUGCAAGUCGAGCGCCCUAGCAAUAGGGAGCGGCGCACGGGUGAGUAACACGUGGGAAUAUGCCCUUUUUGGUACGGAACAACCUCGGGAAACUGAGGCUAAUACCGUAUGGUCCCUUCGGGUAAAGAUUUAUCGCCAAAAGAGUAGCCCGCGUUGGAUUAGCUAGUUGGUAAGGUAACGGCUUACCAAGGCGACGAUCCAUAGCUGGUCUGAGAGGACGAUCAGCCACACUGGGACUGAGACACCGGCCCAGACUCCUACGGGGAGGCAGCAGUUAGGAAUAUUGGACAAUGGGCGCAAGCCUGAUCCAGCCAUGCCGCGUGAGUGAU
Molecule: ribosomal RNA, 356 nt
Filed under: uncultured bacterium
Lineage: Bacteria
Description: bacterial SSU rRNA
Rfam family: Bacterial small subunit ribosomal RNA
Source: RNAcentral